CAACCUGUAGCUUAAAUAAAGCAUCUUACUUACACUAAGAAAAUACUUGAGAAAAACUAGUCAGAUUGA
Molecule: transfer RNA, 69 nt
Filed under: Ambystoma barbouri (streamside salamander)
Lineage: Eukaryota; Metazoa; Chordata; Amphibia; Caudata; Ambystomatidae
Description: tRNA-Val
Rfam family: tRNA
About the family: Transfer RNA (tRNA) molecules are approximately 80 nucleotides in length. Their secondary structure includes four short double-helical elements and three loops (D, anti-codon, and T loops).
Source: RNAcentral